Molecule: long non-coding RNA, 655 nt
Filed under: Marmota monax (woodchuck)
Lineage: Eukaryota; Metazoa; Chordata; Mammalia; Rodentia; Sciuridae
Source: RNAcentral
UGGGAAUUGCAAUGAGGAGUCCUGUCCCUUUGUCCCGGCACGAAGCCGAGAAAUACUCAGGAUCUAGAAGAACAGAAGUCACACUGGAGGAGUUUUGCGCUGGUCCCUCUCUGUGCCGGACUCGUGUAUCUGUGCUCUUUCCUCGGAGAUUGCCCACCCCUACUGUUUGCUUUUCCUUUUAUUAUUUCCCCAGAGACAGACCUGACUGCUGCCUGACUUUGGAGAACUAUCCAUGGAGCCAAAUAAAGCAACCCUGAAUCCCUGCCCUGCACUGGGCUCUGGAUAUUAUCCUUUAACAACCUACAAAAGGAAGUCACCCUCAAGCAUGUGGUCAGCGGGCACCCACUAGAUAAGAGGCCUGAGUCAGAGUCCCUUCGGUGCAACACGUUACCCACUCUCGGAUGCUCACACAACGAUCGUCCUUUAUGUUGCUCGAGGUUCCUUUGGGCCAGGAGGUCAAGCCAGGGAGCAGCAGAGGGCUUGCUUUGCUCUGUGGGCACUCUGAAGGCCUGUCCCUCAGGUCUGGAGGUCUAUGCUGAUGGUUGAAUUGGGGCUGAGACACCUCCACGUGGCCUCUUCUUGUGGCCUGGGCUUCCUCACAAGAUGGCAGCUGGGUUUCAAGAACAACUGUUGUAAGAGCAAAAGAGCCGUGAGA